Molecule: ribosomal RNA, 713 nt
Filed under: uncultured bacterium
Lineage: Bacteria
Description: bacterial SSU rRNA
Rfam family: Bacterial small subunit ribosomal RNA
Source: RNAcentral
AUUAGAUACCCUGGUAGUCCACGCAGUAAACGAUGAAUGUCAGCUGUCCGGGACUUCGGUCCUGGGUGGCACAGCGAAAGCGUUAAACAUUCCACCUGGGGAGUACGCCGGCAACGGUGAAACUCAAAGGAAUUGACGGGGGCCCGCACAAGCGGAGGAACAUGUGGUUUAAUUCGAUGAUACGCGAGGAACCUUACCCGGGCUCAAACGUGACUGGAAUGUCCGCGAAAGCGGGCAGCCCUUCGGGGCCGGUUACGAGGUGCUGCAUGGUUGUCGUCAGCUCGUGCCGUGAGGUGUCGGCUUAAGUGCCAUAACGAGCGCAACCCCUACCGACAGUUGCUAACAAGCGAAGUUGAGGACUCUGUCGGGACUGCCGGCGCAAGCUGCGAGGAAGGCGGGGAUGACGUCAAAUCAGCACGGCCCUUACGUCCGGGGCGACACACGUGCUACAAUGGGUGGCACAGAGGGAAGCCAGGCGGCGGCGCCGAGCGGAACCCGAAAUCCACUCUCAGUUCGGAUCGGAGUCUGCAACCCGACUCCGUGAAGCUGGAUUCGCUAGUAAUCGCGCAUCAGCCAUGGCGCGGUGAAUACGUUCCCGGGCCUUGUACACACCGCCCGUCAAGCCAUGGGAGCCGAGGGCGCUUGAAGUGCGUCGCCGCAAGACGCGCCCUAGAGCGAAAUCGGUGACUGGGGCUAAGUCGUAACAAGGUAAC